CUGAGGAAACGGUGACUUUGGUUCCUUUCCCCCAGUAGUCGAAGUAGUCGUUGUGUCUCUCGAGCACAGUAAUAAACAGCAGUGUCCUCUUCUCUCAGACUCUUGGCUUCAAGAUACUGUGUACUUUGAGACACGUCCUCACUCAGCGUGAAGUGAUUUCUCA
Long non-coding RNA from Cyprinus carpio (common carp), 163 nucleotides. RefSeq lists it as uncharacterized. Lineage: Eukaryota; Metazoa; Chordata; Actinopteri; Cypriniformes; Cyprinidae. The record is from RefSeq and is a predicted model, not a curated record. The transcript has 3 exons.